RNAcentral lists this long non-coding RNA (812 nucleotides) under Equus caballus (horse). RNAcentral describes it as "lncRNA (ENSECAG00000050426.1)". The record is from RNAcentral. Lineage: Eukaryota; Metazoa; Chordata; Mammalia; Perissodactyla; Equidae.
AAAAUGACUACCACAAUAAGUUCUGACUGCAAUCCUCCGAACUGACUUUCAAAUUUUCUUCCUCCUGCCUGCCCCAGCAUCACCAAGAACUGAAACUUGACUGCUCAGAUCCCUGUCAGCACUCCUGCUUACCUUGCAGCUGGCCUUUUCCCCCCGAGAAUCUGAAGAAGCUCUGGAGGCUGAAGCCCGGUGACUUGGCGUUAACCUCGAAGGAGCCAGCACUGCAGCAGACCGUGCACGGGCUGGAAUUCUCCCUGGACAAGCCACUGCCGGACCACUGAGGAAGUCCAGCAAAAUGUUCAGGUCAUGCAUGCCCUUGUAUGAGAGAGAGCCAAGACUGUGGACAACGCCACCAAGAGCAGGGACAUCUUAGCUUCAGGAAACUCCAAGAGUGGUGCUGCAAGACUUUCUUCAGCUGACCUCUGGAACCCACUGGACCAGUUAAUUCUCCACAUUCAACUCCUAGCUCUUUACUUCAAUACAACUUUUGUAGUAUUAUUUCUCUGUUUUAGGCAUCCCUCUUUUAAGAUGUCUGAUCUCCAGGACCCUAAAACAACUGACCUUAGCCACCACCUCUCAACAGAUGGUUCAACUGGUUUUAUAGAAACAACCAGCAAGAAUCCUAGGGAAAUUAUUUCUUAGGCCCUGCUUCAUCCCGCUCGAGAGGUUUGUGAUUGCCUCUGAGUUGUUCAACAAUGAACGAUAUUCAUCUUGAACAAAAGGGGUGCAACCUCAGCACUGAUGAUUAAGAAAUCUACCCUCCUUUUGUGUUUCAGAAAUGACAAACCAGCUAACCACGAAGGACCGCACUG